This 53-nucleotide transfer RNA is filed under the name Pomphorhynchus bulbocolli. RNAcentral describes it as "tRNA-Asn". Lineage: Eukaryota; Metazoa; Acanthocephala; Palaeacanthocephala; Echinorhynchida; Pomphorhynchidae. The record is from RNAcentral.
CUUACAUUAGAAUAGCUAAGGGGUUGUUACCCCCAUCUAAAUGUUCUAUAAGG